RNAcentral lists this long non-coding RNA (242 nucleotides) under Ananas comosus (pineapple). RNAcentral's name for it is "long non-coding RNA (ACOM_LNC024302)". The record is from RNAcentral. Lineage: Eukaryota; Viridiplantae; Streptophyta; Magnoliopsida; Poales; Bromeliaceae.
GAAUAAAGAAUAAAGAAUGGCUAAUGUUAAAGAAUGGCAAAUGCUAAAGGAUAGCUAAUAUGGAAAAGAAUGAUUAGCGAUAAAGAAUGGUUAAGAGUAAAGAAUGAUUAAGAAUAAUGAGUAGAAUUAACUAAUCUACUUGGAUAGUUGCAUGAUUUGCAUGUUGCAUAUUGUGAGGCAUGGAUAUGGUGAUGUUAGAUGCAUAAAUAUAUAUAUCUGUGAAUAUCUCUUUAAUGAGUUUG